AAAUUGAAGAGUUUGAUCAUGGCUCAGAUUGAACGCUGGCGGCAGGCCUAACACAUGCAAGUCGAACGGUAACAGGAAGCAGCUUGCUGCUUCGCUGACGAGUGGCGGACGGGUGAGUAAUGUCUGGGAAACUGCCUGAUGGAGGGGAAUAACUACUGGAAACGGUGGCUAAUACCGCAUAACGUCGCAAGACCAAAGAGGGGGACCUUCGGGCCUCUUGCCAUCAGAUGUGCCCAGAUGGGAUUAGCUUGUUGGUGAGGUAACGGCUCACCAAGGCGACGAUCCCUAGCUGGUCUGAGAGGAUGACCAGCCACACUGGAACUGAGACACGGUCCAGACUCCUACGGGAGGCAGCAGUGGGGAAUAUUGCACAAUGGGCGCAAGCCUGAUGCAGCCAUGCCGCGUGUAUGAAGAAGGCCUUCGGGUUGUAAAGUACUUUCAGCGGGGAGGAAGGUGUUGCGGUUAAUAACCGCAGCAAUUGACGUUACCCGCAGAAGAAGCACCGGCUAACUCCGUGCCAGCAGCCGCGGUAAUACGGAGGGUGCAAGCGUUAAUCGGAAUUACUGGGCGUAAAGCGCACGCAGGCGGUCUGUCAAGUCGGAUGUGAAAUCCCCGGGCUCAACCUGGGAACUGCAUUCGAAACUGGCAGGCUUGAGUCUUGUAGAGGGGGGUAGAAUUCCAGGUGUAGCGGUGAAAUGCGUAGAGAUCUGGAGGAAUACCGGUGGCGAAGGCGGCCCCCUGGACAAAGACUGACGCUCAGGUGCGAAAGCGUGGGGAGCAAACAGGAUUAGAUACCCUGGUAGUCCACGCCGUAAACGAUGUCUACUUGGAGGUUGUGCCCUUGAGGCGUGGCUUCCGGAGCUAACGCGUUAAGUAGACCGCCUGGGGAGUACGGCCGCAAGGUUAAAACUCAAAUGAAUUGACGGGGGCCCGCACAAGCGGUGGAGCAUGUGGUUUAAUUCGAUGCAACGCGAAGAACCUUAC
RNAcentral lists this ribosomal RNA (984 nucleotides) under Salmonella enterica. Its description in RNAcentral is "bacterial SSU rRNA". It matches the Rfam family "Bacterial small subunit ribosomal RNA", at positions 1 to 974 of the family's 1533-position model. Lineage: Bacteria; Pseudomonadati; Pseudomonadota; Gammaproteobacteria; Enterobacterales; Enterobacteriaceae. The record is from RNAcentral.